GAUGAACGCUGGCGGCGUGCCUAAUACAUGCAAGUCGAACGCAUUGAGAGAAGUGCUUGCACUUUUCAAUUUGAGUGGCGAACGGGUGAGUAACACGUGGGCAACCUACCUGAUAGCGGGGGAUAACGAGUGGAAACAUUCGCUAAUACCGCAUAACAAUAGAGAAGGCAUCUUCUUUAUUUAAAAGGCGCUUUCAAGCGUCACUAUCAGAUGGGCCCGCGGUGCAUUAGUUAGUUGGUGGGGGGAAGGCCUACCAAGACGAUGAUGCAUAGCCGAGUUGAGAGACGGAUCGGCCACAUUGGGACUGAGACACGGCCCAAACUCCUACGGGAGGCUGCAGUAGGGAAUCUUCCACAAUGGACGAAAGUCUGAUGAAGCAACGCCGCGUGUGUGAUGAAGGCUUUCGGGUCGUAAAGCACUGUUGUAUGGGAAGAAAUGCUAGGCUAGGAAAUGAGCUUAGUUUGACGGUACCAUACCAGAAAGGGACGGCUAAAUACGUGCCAGCCGCCGCGGUAA
RNAcentral lists this ribosomal RNA (516 nucleotides) under uncultured bacterium. Its description in RNAcentral is "partial 16S ribosomal RNA". It matches the Rfam family "Bacterial small subunit ribosomal RNA", at positions 28 to 523 of the family's 1533-position model. The record is from RNAcentral.